UGGCUCUGGCAUNGAUGAAGAACGCAGCGAAAUGCGAUAAGUAAUGUGAAUUGCAGAAUUCAGUGAAUCAUCGAAUCUUUGAACGCACAUUGCGCCCCUUGGUAUUCCGGGGGGCAUGCCUGUUCGAGCGUCAUUAACACCCCUCAAGCCUGGCUUGGUCUUGGGGCUCGCAGUUCGCGGCCCUUAAAAUCAGUGGCGGCGCCGGUCGGCUCUCAGCGUAGUAACUUUUCUCGCUUCAGGGUCGGGCGGCGGCAGCCAAAACCCCUAUUUUUCAGUUUGACCUCGGAUCAGGUAGGGAUACCCGCUGA
RNAcentral lists this unclassified non-coding RNA (308 nucleotides) under uncultured fungus. RNAcentral describes it as "partial contains 5.8S ribosomal RNA and internal transcribed spacer 2". The stretch from base 1 to 133 matches the Rfam family "5.8S ribosomal RNA", at positions 22 to 154 of the family's 154-position model. The record is from RNAcentral. Lineage: Eukaryota; Fungi.